RNAcentral lists this ribosomal RNA (374 nucleotides) under uncultured bacterium. RNAcentral's name for it is "bacterial SSU rRNA". It matches the Rfam family "Bacterial small subunit ribosomal RNA", at positions 1 to 422 of the family's 1533-position model. The record is from RNAcentral.
CGUCAUCACUCCUAAAACCUAGGCUAGGUCUAAGGGUGUUUAAGCAAAGUGCUGGAGUACACGAGCGGCGGACGGGUGAGUAACGCGUAAGAAUGUACCCCAAAGUGAGGGAUAAGCACCAGAAAUGGUGUCUAAUACCGCAUAUGCUCUUCGGAGUAAAGCUACGGCGCUUUGGGAACAGCUUGCGUAUGAUUAGCUAGUUGGUAAGGUAAUGGCUUACCAAGGCAACGAUCAUUAGCGGGUCUGAGAGGAUGAUCCGCCACACUGGGACUGAGACACGGCCCAGACUCCUACGGGAGGCAGCAGUAGGGAAUUUUCCACAAUGGGGGCAACCCUGAUGGAGCAACACCGCGUGCAGGAUGAAGGCCCUAGGG